UCCCUGGUGACUUAGAUGGUAAAGAAUCUGCUUGCAAUGCAGGAGACCCUGGUUCAAUCCCUGGGUUGGGAA
RNAcentral lists this transfer RNA (72 nucleotides) under Bos taurus (domestic cattle). It matches the Rfam family "tRNA". Rfam says of the family: Transfer RNA (tRNA) molecules are approximately 80 nucleotides in length. The record is from Rfam by way of RNAcentral. RNAcentral also lists the same sequence under 3 other names. Lineage: Eukaryota; Metazoa; Chordata; Mammalia; Artiodactyla; Bovidae.